Molecule: ribosomal RNA, 200 nt
Filed under: Shigella sonnei
Lineage: Bacteria; Pseudomonadati; Pseudomonadota; Gammaproteobacteria; Enterobacterales; Enterobacteriaceae
Description: partial 16S ribosomal RNA
Rfam family: Bacterial small subunit ribosomal RNA
Source: RNAcentral
AAAUUGAAGAGUUUGAUCAUGGCUCAGAUUGAACGCUGGCGGCAGGCCUAACACAUGCAAGUCGAACGGUAACAGGAAACAGCUUGCUGUUUCGCUGACGAGUGGCGGACGGGUGAGUAAUGUCUGGGAAACUGCCUGAUGGAGGGGGAUAACUACUGGAAACGGUAGCUAAUACCGCAUAAUGUCGCAAGACUAAAGAG